CAGUAGCCGCGGUAAUACGGAGGAUCCAAGCGUUAUCCGGAAUCAUUGGGUUAAAGGGUCCGUAGGCGGUCUUGUAAGUCAGUGGUGAAAGCCCAUCGCUCAACGGUGGAACGGCCAUUGAUACUGCAGGACUUGAAUUAUUGGGAAGUAACUAGAAUAUGUAGUGUAGCGGUGAAAUGCUUAGAGAUUACAUGGAAUACCAAUUGCGAAGGCAGGUUACUACCAAUUGAUUGACGCUGAUGGACGAAAGCGUGGGUAGCGAACAGGAUUAGAUACCCCCGUAGUCCCUGUCUCUUAUACC
Molecule: ribosomal RNA, 301 nt
Filed under: uncultured bacterium
Lineage: Bacteria
Description: partial 16S ribosomal RNA
Rfam family: Bacterial small subunit ribosomal RNA
Source: RNAcentral